AGUAGAAUUUCUCCAAAAAAAUUAAUUACCCAUGGUAUUAUCAUUAUCAAGAAAGGAAUAGAAUUCCAAAACCUAAAAACGAAGCAAAUUGAACAAAUUCCAAAGAAUGGUUGCUCGAAGACUCGCCGUUAGUCACAACGACUCCACAUUCGACGUCGAUUACGACACUGAUGAUGGCUUCGAAGUCCUCUUCUUCCACUUCCUCCUCUCAUUCUCACUUCAAUUCCAUCUUCCGUUUCAUUUGCAAACCUUUUUCUCUUAUCUAUUCGUUUUUCCAGGUCCUCAAGUACCAGCUCUUCUCUCUCACUUCUGUUCCUCCCGAUCAACAAAAGAUAUUGGGGAGAGAUGAUCAAAUUGUAUCCGACGAGUCUGAUCUCGCUUCAAUAUCGGAUAAGCUUCGGUUGGUGUCAAUUGAUGAAGUUGAGGAGGAAAUAGUAGCCGAGGAGAAAGAGAAGUUAGAAAAUUUGGCAAUGUCAGAUGAAGAGUUGGCUCGCCUUAUUCAGGCAGAAGAAGAAGCUCUUAUGAUGCAGCAUUUUGUUUCUAGAGAAAGUAAGGAGCAAGUUGAACAGCAGAUACAGCCAUAUGUAAAUAAAGUUCAAAUGUAUGAAGAUCCACAUCGGCAAGAGAUGGCUCGAAAGACUGUGCCUGUUGACAAGCUUGAGGAGAAAGCAUUGAUUUCUUUGGGAAGGGAGGGAAACUACAAACCAACAAAAGUUGAACAGGAUAAUGCUUUCCUAUUACAGCUGCUAUUCUGGUUUAAGCAGUCAUUUCGGUGGGUGAAUUCUCCUCCUUGUGAUAGCUGUGGUAAUGAUACCAGAAGUCAAGGCAUGGGGGUUGCAAAUUCUUCUGAAACACUUUAUGGUGCUUCUCGAGUUGAACUUCAUCGGUGCAAUUCAUGUUCAAAUAUCACCCGUUUCCCAAGAUACGACGACCCAUUGAAGCUUCUAGAGACGAGAAAGGGGCGGUGCGGGGAGUGGGCCAACUGCUUCACACUCUAUUGUAGGGCUUUUGGUUAUGAUUCUCGUUUGAUUUUGGACUUCACCGAUCAUGUCUGGACAGAGUGCUUUUCACCGUCUCUGGGAAGAUGGAUGCAUCUUGAUCCUUGUGAAGGAAUAUAUGACAAUCCUCUAUUAUAUGAGAAGGGAUGGAAAAAGAGUUUGAACUAUGUUUUUGCUAUUGCAAAAGAUGGCGUGCAUGAUGUCACUAAGCGUUACACCAGGAAGUGGCCUGAGGUUCUUUCUCGGCGAAACAUCAUCUCAGAGCCUUCUCUUGCAGCUGUUCUCUCUGAUAUAACUAGAGAACUUCGGAAAACAUUAUCUGCUGAAGUGAUUUCAGCACUGGAAGAACGGGACAGGAUCGAAAUGAAUGUCAUUGAGCAAGAAUUGCAUCGUAAAGAUGACUCUUCAGUCUCAUUACCUGGAAGAUUGAGCGGAGACAAGGAGUGGCGCAUAGCAAGAUCGGAAUUUGUCUCGGAUGAAAAGAACUCUCUAAGCUCUUCAUCUUGUCCAGUUCGCAAAUGCAUAGAUGAUCAUGUCACAAAUAUCUACAGUGCCUUUACCCCUGUUCUUUCAAAGUUAAUAGAGUACUCGCCAUCUAAAAAGGCAGCUGCUGAAAUUCUUGAGAUUUUCAGAAAGAUUUUAGUUGAUCUAAAGAAUUCACCUUUCAGAACCAGGAGAAUUUCUGUGAAAUCAGUUUCAAGUAGUUCUGGUGAUAUUUUCAGUAAGAUGUUGGCAUCUUUUGACCAGUUACUCAAUGCUCUUUCUUUGAAGGGUGAGUUAGGUGUUAAUGGGAGUAUUGAUAUAUGUUUAGCUUCUGAUCCUGUUAAAACUUCCGUUGCGCUGCCUGUCGUGUUCCAUGCACUGGAUGAUGUGAUUUACAAUAUCGGACAAUGUGCUAGACUAGACAGCAGGUCCCUCUCUUGGCCACUGCUUAAGUUGAACAGAUUAUGUUCUGGUCUAGUCCUUGCUAGUGGGGAGGAGCUUCCUUUUGGAAUUGCUACAUGUGCAUUUGAUGGAACACGGAUGUCAAAGUGGGAAGAACCAAAUGGUGCAGCAGGUAUGCUUAAGCAAAAAUGUAACUCUGGCAUAGCAUCAUUGUUUCUCAUAUAUGUCAGCUGCGUAAGCCGUAAGGAUGUUGGAUCAUAUAUCAAGUAGCUGAUAACCGGAUGGUUGAGCUUGUGGCAUAUGAGUUUAUGUCUGCUAAUGAUGCUCCAGAGAGAGAUCCAAAAGACUGGGUGCUAGAAGGAAGUGAAAAUGGAGGUUCCAGUUGGCAUCUCUUGGAUAAACGAACUUCCCAGAUGUUUGACAAACGUUUCCAAAGAAAAGCAUUUACAGUCAGUUCACCCGGCUAUUUGUCAAAUGCAUUCAGGUUUAGGUUUCUAGCAGUUCAAGGCAAGAAUGCAACUUCAAGGUUUCAGAUUGGCAGCAUUGACCUCUUUGCAGGUAGCAGUUAAUGUCCCUAAACCAUAUUAUAAACUUCCCCUUUCUCUGGCUUAGGCUUCAAAGCCAAGCUGUGAGUUAGAAGUUUCACCAGUUGACCUAUUUAUAUGUUGUAUUAUUUGUAUCUACACUUGUUGUAUGCACAUUCUUCGGGCAAUGUAAAAUUGUCAAACCUUUAACAUACUCGUUUUCU
Solanum tuberosum (potato) is the source of this 2631-nucleotide RNA transcript. It is a transcript of the gene named peptide-N(4)-(N-acetyl-beta-glucosaminyl)asparagine amidase, with no coding region annotated. The transcript has 16 exons. The record is from RefSeq and is a predicted model, not a curated record. Lineage: Eukaryota; Viridiplantae; Streptophyta; Magnoliopsida; Solanales; Solanaceae.